This 75-nucleotide transfer RNA is filed under the name Candidatus Brocadiia bacterium. RNAcentral's name for it is "tRNA-Cys". It matches the Rfam family "tRNA". From Rfam's summary of the family: Transfer RNA (tRNA) molecules are approximately 80 nucleotides in length. Their secondary structure includes four short double-helical elements and three loops (D, anti-codon, and T loops). The record is from RNAcentral. Lineage: Bacteria; Pseudomonadati; Planctomycetota; Candidatus Brocadiia.
GGUGGCAUAGCCAAGAGGCCCAAGGCGACGGUUUGCAAAACCGUUAGUUCCUCGGUUCAAAUCCGAGUGCCACCU